GUUUGGGUGUUGCUGGGUGGCCAGGUCCCCGAGUUGGGACGGGCGGAAAGGGGAACCCCCAUCAUGAGCCGGACGAACCUAUUCCCAGCGUUGAGAAAGUGGAGAUGAACUGUGCAUGAGGCCAAACUGAAGUGGUCAAUGUGGUCUCCCCUCUCCCCAGUCGCCAGGUAACUCAUCAUGGCGACGCCCCCUAAACGGCGGGCGGUGGAGGCCACGGGGGAGAAAGUGCUGCGCUACGAGACUUUCAUCAGUGACGUGCUACAGCAGGACCUGAGAAAGGUGCUGGACCAUCGAGACCAGGUAUAUGAGCAGCUGGCCAAAUACCUUCAACUGAGAAAUGUCAUUGAACGACUCCAGGAAGCUAAACACUCGGAAUUAUAUAUGCAGGUGGAUUUGGGCUGUAACUUCUUCGUUGACACAGUGGUCCCAGAUACUUCACGAAUCUAUGUGGCCCUGGGAUAUGGCUUUUUCCUGGAGUUGACACUGGCAGAAGCCCUCAAGUUCAUUGAUCGUAAGAGUUCUCUCCUCACAGAGCACUGUGGUGAUCGAUGGAUGUGCAGCAGUGGCCAAGACAAAAGAUCUCCUUGAAGGCAUACAAAUCUAGUGGGACUAUAUUGUUAUAUAUAAAAACAGUUAUGACCAGAUCAAUGCAGUCUCAGCCUGUAAAUCACUAACAAUAAAAUAAGUUAUUUCUGACCUUACCUCCUGCUGAUUUUUCUGUCAAUUCACUGUGCUCUCACCACAGUGACCUGCAGGUGCUUCUUUCUUACAUUCUUUUUUUUUUUUUGAGACAGAGCCUCAAGCUGUUGCCCUGGGUAGAGUACUGUGGCAUCACAACUCACAGCAACCUCCAACUCCUGGGCUCAAGUGAUUCUCUUGCCUCAGCCUCCCAAGUAGCUGGGACUACAGGCGCCCACCACAACGCCCGGCUAUUUUUUGGUUGUAGUUGUCAUUGUUGUUUGGCAGGCCCGGGCUGGAUUUGAAACCGCCAGCUCUGGUGUAUGUGGCUGGCGCCCUAGCGGCUUGAGCUACAGGUGCUGAGCCAUCAGGUGCUUCUUUCAACACCCCAUGAAUGGUCCCACCUCAGGGCAGUUGCAGUGGCUGUUCUCCUUGCAGUGCUCUUUUCUCUAGUACUCAUGGGGCUUCCUUUCUCCUCACUCAUUAUCCUGAUUAAAUGUCACUUCCUCAGUAAGGCCUUCUGUAACCUCACUUUAUUGUUUAUUUAUUUUUGGAGACAGAGUCUUACUAUGUCACUCUCAAUAGAGUGCCGUGCCGUCACAUCUCACAGCAACUUCAAACUCUUGGGCUUAAGCAGUUCUCUUGCCUCAGCCUCCCAAGUAGCUUGGAGUACAGGCGCUUGCCAUAACGCCUGGCUAUUUUUUUGUUGCAGUUGUCAUGGUCAUUUAGCUGGCCUGGGCUAGAUUUGAACCCACCAGCCUUGUUGUAUGUGGCUGGUGCAUUAACCACUGUGCUACAGACUCCGAGCCUGUAACCUCACUUUAAAAUUGCUCCCCCAGCACUCUUGAUUCCCUUCCCCUCUUCUAGUUUUCCUUUUUCCUCUAGCACUUAUCACCCCCUGAUUUUACUGUAUAAUUGUCAUAUUCAUUGUUUUUUCCAAUUAGGAUGUAAGCUUUAUCAAGACACUCUCUACAUAUUGAAAGAAUAUGAAAAGGCUCAGCGACAGCCUCACCAAGGACUCCAUGAAUAUCAAAGCUCAUAUCCACAUGUUGCUAGAGGGGCUUAGAGAAAUACAAGGCCUGCAGAAUUUCCCAGAGAAGCCUCACCAUUGACUUUUUUCCUCCAUUCUCUGACAUUAAAGACUCCUAAUGCCUUUGA
RNA transcript from Nycticebus coucang (slow loris), 1836 nucleotides. It is a transcript of the gene named ubiquitously expressed prefoldin like chaperone, with no coding region annotated. Lineage: Eukaryota; Metazoa; Chordata; Mammalia; Primates; Lorisidae. The transcript is spliced from 7 exons. The record is from RefSeq and is a predicted model, not a curated record.